UUCGCCACAGGGGUCGUUGCAGAGUCAGUGACCCAACCAACCUCCAUGACCAGGCAAUGGCUCUAACGCCUUCUUCUUCAUCCCAUACUCUCCUCCAAUUUCCGCUCCCCACUCACUCCACAACCACUCACUGCUUCCUCUUCUCCGACCUCACCGUCAGCUCUAGCCUUUUCCGGUCGCCAUGUACACCGUCGCUGCUUUCGUCUUGCCGGAGCAAGAUCUCUGCGAUUUCUCCGAUCGUAGUAUCCAGGGCGAAAUGCUCUGCGAAAUCUACGGCGGAGGAGGACCUGUUGUCGGAACCGGAAACCCUAGCUUCCGGUGGUGGCGACGACGACGACGAUGCGAAGGUCCAGGACCAGAGCUCGGUGGCUGCCAGUAGACCUAUUGGUUCGCCGAGAGUCGCGACUUCGCUGAGUGAAUCUCUCUCCCUCGGGAUUCGCGAGCCGGUUUACGAGGUGGUAGAAGUGACGUCAAAUGGGAUAGUAUCUACUAGGAAAAUUAACAGACGCCAGUUAUUGAAAUCAAGCGGUCUUCGUCCACGGGAUAUCCGAAGUGUCGAUCCAUCGUUGUUUUUAACGAACUCGGUGCCUUCAUUGCUGGUACGUGAGCAUGCUAUUCUUCUGAAUCUGGGUUCAUUGCGAGCUAUGGCAAUGCAAGAGCGUGUCCUUAUUUUUGACUACAACAGUAAAGGAGGGAAGGCCUUCAGAGAAAUCUUGCUGAAAAACGUGAAUGGAGGGCCAUGUAUGCCAUUUUCUCUUGAGGUUGUUGAAGCGGCAUUGCUUUCACGCAUACAGCAUUUGGAGCAGAAAUUAAUCAAUUUAGAACCUCGAGUACAAGCUCUACUUGAGGUUUUACCGAACCGAUUAACUGGUGACAUAUUGGAGGAACUUCGUACGAGCAAGCAAACCUUGGUUGAAUUGGGUUCAAGGGCAGGGGCUCUCAGACAAAUGCUGCUUGAUCUUCUAGAGGACCCUCAUGAAAUACGCCGUAUAUGUAUUAUGGGAAGAAACUGCACGCUUAAGAAAGGAAAUGAUGACAUGGAAUGCUCUGUACCCUUAGAGAAGCAGAUUGCUGAGGAAGAGGAGGAAGAAAUUGAGAUGCUGCUGGAAAAUUAUCUUCAAAGAUGUGAAUCUUGUCAUGGUCAGGCUGAAAGGCUUCUUGACUCUGCAAAGGAAAUGGAAGAUUCAAUUGCUGUCAGUUUGAGUUCUCGGAGGCUUGAGGUUAGCAGAGUGGAAUUGCUUCUCCAGGUUGGGACAUUUUGUGUGGCAGUUGGAGCUCUAGUUGCAGGUAUUUUUGGCAUGAACUUGAAGUCCUAUAUUGAAGAACAUGUGUUUGCGUUUUGGCUAACAACAGCUGGGAUAAUUUUUGGUGCUGUUGUCGCUUUUUUCCUUAUGUACUCCUAUCUCAAGACAAGGAAGAUACUGUGAAAUUUCGUCAAAGAGCAUUUGGUUCGGUUCCAGCUAAUUGGUAAAUUAUACAAGAGGGUCCUGUAUUCUUCUCAUCACGCUUCAUAUAAUUUUCAUUAAAGAUUAUUGGUUGGCUGUAUGAACUUUCAUAAAUAGUUCCUCAAUUGCUCCAGAUACUGGCAGUGUUGAAGGUCUCGUCAGUUUCUGAGCCAUUUGUUUAUCCAACAAGAUUAGCAGUAACUUGUGUUAGGUCAGGAAGAUGAAGGUCAAUAUAGGCUGGAAGAAAGACCCAAGCGUUAUUUCUGAAUCCUGGUGGUUUUAUUUAGUUUAGGCAGCAUGAGUCGAUGCCUUCCUUUAUUUGACAAUCCUUUGAUAUAGAGCGUUCACUAUGCGGUUACUAUUAUGGAGGUAAGCCUUUUUGUUUUCUUCUUUUCCCCUCUCUUCCUCUCUUGAUUACUGUAAUUCAUCCCUAGCACAACCUAUCACUCAGCCGCCAAGCUUGUAAAUUUGUAAUAUAUAUAUAUAACCAGGUGAUCAAUCAUAUCAACUCAUCAAGUAAUUCGAAGC
Molecule: RNA transcript, 1973 nt
Organism: Corylus avellana
Lineage: Eukaryota; Viridiplantae; Streptophyta; Magnoliopsida; Fagales; Betulaceae
Gene: MGT10
Gene name: magnesium (Mg) transporter 10
Source: RefSeq, a predicted model, not a curated record